GAACGGUGAACACGGAGCUUGCUCUGUGGGAUCAGUGGCGAACGGGUGAGUAACACGUGAGCAACCUGCCCCUGACUCUGGGAUAAGCGCUGGAAACGGCGUCUAAUACUGGAUAUGUGACGUGACCGCAUGGUCUGCGUUUGGAAAGAUUUUUCGGUUGGGGAUGGGCUCGCGGCCUAUCAGCUUGUUGGUGAGGUAAUGGCUCACCAAGGCGUCGACGGGUAGCCGGCCUGAGAGGGUGACCGGCCACACUGGGACUGAGACACGGCCCAGACUCCUACGGGAGGCAGCAGUGGGGAAUAUUGCACAAUGGGCGCAAGCCUGAUGCAGCAACGCCGCGUGAGGGAUGACGGCCUUCGGGUUGUAAACCUCUUUUAGCAGGGAAGAAGCGAAAGUGACGGUACCUGCAGAAAAAGCGCCGGCUAACUACGUGCCAGCAGCCGCGGUAAUACGUAGGGCGCAAGCGUUAUCCGGAAUUAUUGGGCGUAAAGAGCUCGUA
RNAcentral lists this ribosomal RNA (499 nucleotides) under Microbacterium sp. TRL-2.2. RNAcentral describes it as "bacterial SSU rRNA". It matches the Rfam family "Bacterial small subunit ribosomal RNA", at positions 64 to 573 of the family's 1533-position model. The record is from RNAcentral. Lineage: Bacteria; Bacillati; Actinomycetota; Actinomycetes; Micrococcales; Microbacteriaceae.